Molecule: ribosomal RNA, 490 nt
Filed under: uncultured bacterium
Lineage: Bacteria
Description: partial 16S ribosomal RNA
Rfam family: Bacterial small subunit ribosomal RNA
Source: RNAcentral
AUUGAACGCUGGCGGCAGGCCUAACACAUGCAAGUCGAACGGUAACAGGAAACAGCUUGCUGUUUCGCUGACGAGUGGCGGACGGGUGAGUAAUGUCUGGGAAACUGCCUGAUGGAGGGGGAUAACUACUGGAAACGGUAGCUAAUACCGCAUAACGUCGCAAGACCAAAGAGGGGGACCCUCAGGCCGCUUGCCAUCGGAUGUGACCUGAUGGGAUUAGCUAGUUGGUGGGGUAACGGCUCACCAAGGCGACGAUCCCUAGCUGGUCUGAGAGGAUGACCAGCCACACUGGAACUGAGACACGGUCCAGACUCCUACGGGAGGCAGCAGUGGGGAAUAUUGCACAAUGGGCGCAAGCCUGAUGCAGCCAUGCCGCGUGUAUGAAGAAGGCCUUCGGGUUGUAAAGUACUUUCAGCGGGGAGGAAGGGAGUAAAGUUAAUACCUUCGCUCAUUGACGUUACCCGCAGAAGAAGCACCGGCUAACUCCGUG